Molecule: transfer RNA, 73 nt
Filed under: Ophiophagus hannah (king cobra)
Lineage: Eukaryota; Metazoa; Chordata; Lepidosauria; Squamata; Elapidae
Rfam family: tRNA
About the family: Transfer RNA (tRNA) molecules are approximately 80 nucleotides in length. Their secondary structure includes four short double-helical elements and three loops (D, anti-codon, and T loops).
Source: Rfam by way of RNAcentral
GCCGGGUUGGUGUAGUGGUUAACACAUUAGAUUAGAAAUCAAGAGACUGUGAGUUCUAGUCCUUCCUUAGGCA